This 77-nucleotide non-coding RNA is filed under the name unclassified sequences. RNAcentral describes it as "L20-Deltaproteobacteria ribosomal protein leader". It matches the Rfam family "L20-Deltaproteobacteria ribosomal protein leader". The record is from RNAcentral.
GUCCGUGAACUGAGGGGAAAUGUCUCCCCCUUCAGAUCCGGCGGCGGGAUGUCCCGCCCAUUACACGCAAGAAGGAG